This 429-nucleotide ribosomal RNA is filed under the name uncultured bacterium. Its description in RNAcentral is "bacterial SSU rRNA". It matches the Rfam family "Bacterial small subunit ribosomal RNA", at positions 355 to 775 of the family's 1533-position model. The record is from RNAcentral.
UGGGGAAUUGUUCGCAAUGGGCGCAAGCCUGACGACGCAACGCCGCGUGGAGGAUGAAGAUCUUCGGGUCGUAAACUCCUGUCGAGCGGGAAGAAUUCCUGGCCGGCUAACAACCGGUCGGGGUGACGGUACCGCUAAAGGAAGCCCCGGCUAACUCCGUGCCAGCAGCCGCGGUAAUACGGGGGGGGCAAGCGUUGUUCGGAAUUACUGGGCGUAAAGGGCUCGUAGGCGGCCAACUAAGUCAGACGUGAAAUCCCCAGGCUCAACCUGGGAACUGCGUCUGAUACUGGUUGGCUUGAAUCCGGGAGAGGGAUGCAGAAUUCCAGGUGUAGCGGUGAAAUGCGUAGAUAUCUGGAGGAAUACCGGUGGCGAAGGCGGCAUCCUGGACCGGCAUUGACGCUGAGGAGCGAAAGCCAGGGGAGCAAACGG